CGAGUCGUCAAGGUUACGCAAAGCUGUGAGAACGAGGUGUGAGAAGUUCUGUAGACAGAUGAGAAAAAGAUCUCUCUCCAAUUUGGAGAGACAUGGAUUUGACAGACAGACUACUCAAUGGUUCAAAGGUGCUGAAGUAACAUGAGGGCUGAAUUGCAACUCUUCAGUGUGGUAUCGUCAAAGGAUGAAACUAAAGGAAGACUGUUUCACCAAAAAGUCUUAUUUGUACGUGUCCAAGGGAUGAAAUACCGGGAAACAAACAUAAGCACUGUUUACACCUGACAAUGUAUGCAGGUAAAUUGCAUCUGAUGCGUCUUCAGUUGCAGCAAUUGUUGAUAACCUUCAUGACAACAUAAAGUUUUUGUUGUUAUUUUGUUGUUAUUUCUGGAAUGUAAACCAUUCGUAUAGAAAUGGCUAUAAAAAGAUACAGCUUCAAACG
This 439-nucleotide long non-coding RNA is filed under the name Anser cygnoides (Swan goose). RNAcentral describes it as "lncRNA (ENSACDG00005017682.1)". The record is from RNAcentral. Lineage: Eukaryota; Metazoa; Chordata; Aves; Anseriformes; Anatidae.